This 1674-nucleotide long non-coding RNA is filed under the name Pan troglodytes (chimpanzee). RNAcentral's name for it is "long non-coding RNA NONPTRT016334". Lineage: Eukaryota; Metazoa; Chordata; Mammalia; Primates; Hominidae. The record is from RNAcentral.
CUGUUGCAAAGGUAGAGAGGGAGAAGUGACGAUGGUGAUCGUUGCUGCCGCGGCCGAUAUGGAACCCAAGCAGUGGCGAAGGGAAUCGCAAGGCUCUUCCCUGACCAUUUUCUACUGUCCCUGCGCGAGUCUGCUGCCGCUCCCGACUUUUCUCGCUGAGACACCGUCAGCUCACUCCGAGCCCAGCACAGCGGCCAUCUUCGGUAAAUUCUGGCAGCAGCCCGCCUGUUCAUUGUCCUGUGUGCCCAGAGGAAAGAACUACUCAUUUUUCGUGAUCAAGCUAGGGGAGGCAGGAGCAAUAAUGGCCCUGCUAUAGGACUGGCUUUUAUUUGAAUUCCAACUCUUCUGCCACCUUAACCAGCUGUAUCCAGAUUUUAAAAGUUAAUCUAUCCGAGCCUCUUAUUAAAUAUUAGGUUGAUGAGAUGAUGCAUGCAAAGCGCUUAGAACAGUACUAGGCAUAAAGCGUCCGACAUAAAGGUUAAGUAAAAGUAAGGAAAAGCUAUGGGGAUGUAUUGAGUAUCUCUUUGCCCAAUGACGUAUUAGUCGUAUUAAAUAUGGAAAGUGCCUUUGAUUCUCCGUGCCCAUGGGAGAAGGCAUAGGAAUGGCCUUUUCCCACCUGUAAUCAGAGAGCAGGUGUUUCAAGAACGCCUCAAUAUGUUUGCGAUCUCUCACGCAGCCUUUCAGGCUCCUAAUUCCUACGAAGUUUCCGCUUUUAUUCAAAUUGGCUCACUCCUUUUUGCAGGGCUUUGUACUGAAUGAGUAUUCUUUUAAGGGUGGUGGACAAGCAAAGGUUUGGUAGCAUCACAUUUUUAAUUUCACAGGGAAAAUGGAUAUGAAACAUCUUCCCAAGUACAUCUUAGACUGCCAGCUGACAGCAAGCCAUAAUGCUCCCCAGCUCUUGGGCCCUACACCCCCUCUCCCCCAUCCCCGCUUUAGUUCUUUGUCAUUGCUCAUGGACAGCUGGUUUGGGGACCAGGUGCAGAUGAUGGGAGGUGUCUGAAAAACAGCAAGUGAGAAAUGCUAGUUUUGUUGUUUUAAGUUGCACUGAUGACUCUAGUAGUUAUCUGUGCUGCUUGUGAUAAUUUAUAAGGCAAUGAUAACGAAUUAAACAUACAAAAGAUUAUUAUCUUCCACAGGAAAAAAAAACCUGCAAACUUGUGACACCAUUUAUGAUCCACUUAGUCUUGAGAUACUGAGUAAUAGAACUUUCUCCUUUUAGGCUGAGUUGUGAACUUGAGUUUGGUUUCUUUCUGCAAUCCCUGCAGGGCCAUAAAUUCUUGGCCCUUAAGACUGGGUGGCCCAUAACAGACUCAGUGAUACCAUCAGUAACCACAAUUCACACUGGAGUCAAGUUAUCUGAUUCCCACACCAGUUGGAGAACUGGAGAUUCCUUAGAACUUUUAACUGUCAUGUUUUCAAAGUUGACAUGGAAAAUUUUACAUGAAGCUUAAAAAUACAACUAAUCUGUGGUGAUAGAGACGAGAAGAGUUAAGCUCUAAAAUUAGAAGAGCAGUUCGUUUUGAGGCAGCACUGAUUGGGAGGGAGCAUGGAGUAUAUAAUUACACAUUUCUAUAUAAUGUAAAAAUGUAUCUAUAGAUUUAAGAUUUAUGCAUUUUAUGUAAAUUUUACUACAAUAAAACGAAAAUGAAGACAUCAUAGUUUAAUCAAAUAUUG